This 886-nucleotide long non-coding RNA is filed under the name Fukomys damarensis (Damara mole-rat). Its description in RNAcentral is "lncRNA (ENSFDAG00000025312.1)". The record is from RNAcentral. Lineage: Eukaryota; Metazoa; Chordata; Mammalia; Rodentia; Bathyergidae.
GUGGCCUAGGGCUUUCAUGGCUGUUCCUGCUCAGUCUAAGGCUGGACCGCUGCUGCAGGGCUCUGUGCCAUGUCCUGGGCUUUGGUGACACAAGUGCCUCUCCCACACCGGACACCAGGCUAUGCUCUGCCCUCUGCCACCCGCCCUUAUUGUGCUCCCUGCAGCUGCCUGGCGUACCUGGCCAUGCUCCUGACUCAUCUCCACCUGCACUCCUUGUCCUCUGAGGUACAGCACCACUCGCCUUUGGUAGCUGAGUACAUGUCUGAAACGCAAGGCCACUGCGUGACUCAAUUGAGAGGAGGUGGACAGAUCACUUUGGUAAUUACCAGUCAUGGCAUAGAAUGAAUGCUGUGUGCCGGCCAGACACUGAUGUCUGUCUUUUCAGAAGAGGAUAUAUUUCUGGCCAUAUCUUUAUCUCUAGAAAUGAAACUAUUUUGCAAUCAGAAUCGUUUUAGAGUACAAAUACCUACAGUGUUUGCAAUGCCUUACGGAUCCUUAACUGGAACUCUGCAAGCAGUGAACUUUUGUGCUCCACAACACAACUGAAAAGGUAAAAACAGAAACGUUAGCUUCAUGACAGGGCAUAUAUUUUUAUAAGGUCCAGGGCUUGAAUUGGCAAAGAAAUGCCCAUGCUUUUCCUAUGUUGAAUGAAGAAUCAAUACAGAAUACUUUUGUGAUCUAAUGUGUAAAGUUUCCCUCUACCCUACAGCAAGCAAAUAGUCAGUUCUCCAACAAACAAUCAUUUCUGCUGUACACAGUACAACAAAGAUUUUAGAUUUCCCGCAUGAUAGUUCUAUCUGGCUUUUUCACCUUGAGAGAUAUCAUUUAAGUUUAAGAAGCAAAUUAAACAUUAAAUAUUGUUUUUAUCUGUGAUAUGGAGAAGCAC